Molecule: unclassified non-coding RNA, 378 nt
Filed under: plant metagenome
Description: partial contains 5.8S ribosomal RNA, internal transcribed spacer 2, and large subunit ribosomal RNA
Rfam family: 5.8S ribosomal RNA (bases 1-105)
Source: RNAcentral
GAAAUGCGAUAAGUAAUGUGAAUUGCAGAAUUCAGUGAAUCAUCGAAUCUUUGAACGCACCUUGCGCUCCUUGGUAUUCCUUGGAGCAUGCCUGUUUGAGUAUCAUGAAAUCUUCAAAGUAAAUGUUUUGUUAACUCAAUUGGUUUCUACUUUGGUAUUGGAGGUCUUUGCAGCUUCACACCUGCUCCUCUUUGUUCAUUAGCUGGAUCUCAGUGUUAUGCUUGGUUCCACUCUGCGUGAUAAGUUAUCUAUCGCUGAGGACACUGUAAAAGGUGGCCAAGGUAAAUGCAGAUGAACCGCUUCUAAUAGUCCAUUGACUUGGACAAUACUUUUAUGAUCUGAUCUCAAAUCAGGUAGGACUACCCGCUGAACUUAAGC